This 527-nucleotide ribosomal RNA is filed under the name soil bacterium Carb-S1R-M1LLLSSL-1. Its description in RNAcentral is "bacterial SSU rRNA". It matches the Rfam family "Bacterial small subunit ribosomal RNA", at positions 92 to 613 of the family's 1533-position model. The record is from RNAcentral.
CGAGUGGCGAACGGGUGAGUAAUGCCUCGGAACGUGCCCGGUCGUGGGGGAUAACUACUCGAAAGAUUACGCUAAUACCGCAUACGACCUGAGGGUGAAAGCGGGGGACCGUCAGGCCUCGCGCGAUAGGAUCAGCCGAUGUCUGAUUAGCUAGUUGGUGGGGUAAAGGCCCACCAAGGCGACGAUCCGUAACUGGUCUGAGAGGACGAUCAGCCACACUGGAACUGAGACACGGCCCAGACUCCUACGGGAGGCAGCAGUGGGGAAUUUUGGACAAUGGGGGCAACCCUGAUCCAGCCAUGCCGCGUGUGUGAAGAAGGCCUUCGGAUUGUAAAGCACUUUUGUCCGGAAAGAAAGCCCUUGCCCUAAUACUGUGGGGGGAUGACGGUACCGGAAGAAUAAGCACCGGCUAACUAUGUGCCAGCAGCCGCGGUAAUACGUAGGGUGCGAGCGUUAAUCGGAAUUACUGGGCGUAAAGCGUGCGCAGGCGGUUUUGUAAGACAGGAUGUGAAAUCCCCGAGCUCAAC